GCUCCUAUGGCGCAGUUGGUAGCGCAUGUGACUUUUACGCACAAAUUUACAUCUCCAAGUACGGGGUCAUCAUAGGGUCGCGGGUUCGAGUCCCGCUGGGAGCU
Molecule: transfer RNA, 104 nt
Organism: Salpingoeca sp.
Lineage: Eukaryota; Choanoflagellata; Craspedida; Salpingoecidae
Rfam family: tRNA
About the family: Transfer RNA (tRNA) molecules are approximately 80 nucleotides in length. Their secondary structure includes four short double-helical elements and three loops (D, anti-codon, and T loops).
Source: Rfam